UUCUUUAUAGACACACAAACCAAAACCUUACACUUUCACUGUAAAAAUAAGAAUUUAUUUCUUUAUAGAUA
RNAcentral lists this transfer RNA (71 nucleotides) under Sinopanorpa tincta. Its description in RNAcentral is "tRNA-Glu". Lineage: Eukaryota; Metazoa; Arthropoda; Insecta; Mecoptera; Panorpidae. The record is from RNAcentral.